CCAAAGGCGCUUUUAAGAGCCACCAAUUUUUUCAAGUAUAGAAGG
This is a non-coding RNA of Pygoscelis adeliae (Adelie penguin), 45 nucleotides long. The record is from Rfam. NCBI's taxonomy places the organism in Eukaryota, Metazoa, Chordata, Aves, Sphenisciformes, Spheniscidae.